Molecule: long non-coding RNA, 1733 nt
Organism: Quercus lobata
Lineage: Eukaryota; Viridiplantae; Streptophyta; Magnoliopsida; Fagales; Fagaceae
Exons: 6
Source: RefSeq, a predicted model, not a curated record
ACGCUAGCGCAGUCUUAUUCUUAUCGGUACUAAUCCAUUUGAAUUUACUCAGUAAUCCACAUAUCAAACUAGAACACAGGUUUUUUCCAUUCAUCAUCUUCCACAUGAAGAACAAUGGCAGUGCCUUGUUGAGGGAAAGCGACACAAAUUUUAAUAAUUUUCCCCUUGGUUUGAGCGUUUUGAUUGUGGAUCACGGUCAGCAAAGUCUGCAAGAAAUGGAGGCGAACCUUCGGAGAUUUGGAUAUGAAGGUUACUUCUUAUUCCUUUCGUUUUUUAUUGAGUUUAAACUGCAGGUCUCGAAUGGCCGCGAGUUAGCAUGCUAAGGGAUUGAGUUGAAGCGCUAUAACAAGGGCCACCAUCAAAUUGGAUUGAGUUGAAGCGUUAUUGCAAGAUCGUCGGCACAGCCACGUUACUAAAUGCGUUCGAGUGGAGGAUGCUUCAACUCUGCUAAGGAUGGAGGGAAGUGUAUUUCAUAUUAUUAUAAUUGAACAAUGCUUGCUUGGUGUGAAUGAAUUUGAACUUCUUCGAAUUGGUAGAGAGAUGGAUUUGCCUGUUAUUGUGACAUUCGAGGAUGGUCAACCUAACAUUGUUCAAUGGAGUUUGGAAAAUGGCACCUGUGAGUAUCAGCUGAAGCUUAUCCCGAUGAGUGUUCUUAAUGUGGUGUACAUGUAUGUUUUUCAAGAAAGACAAUAAGUGGGCUCAAGUGCAGCAGCCAACAAAUAAUGUGUCCAGAGUGAGAAAUCAGCGGAUGUCUUGGACACCAGACUCUCGUGAAAAGUUUGAAGAAAGUGUGCAAAAACUGGGAGGCGCUGAUAAUGCAACUCCCAGGAAAAUUUUGCAACUCUUGUGAAGUAACUUUAAGGGUUUUGAAGAUGUUGAUAGGGAAAAGGUUUCCAGCCAUCUGCAGAAAUACUGUGAAAGCCUUAAAAAAAAAGAAAAGGUGCAGCUGCGUAUGAUGGGGCGCAAAGACAAAGAUGGUACCAGUUCAGAGCAUAUUCAGUCCAGAUAUCAAAUGGAGGAACAUCCACCAAUGACUUUGGUCGAUCAAGUCUUGAAGACCACGGUUGCAAAUGAGCCAAAUAUAUUAUCACCAGAGCAACAAGCUCCAGCAGCAAAGAACACUAAAGGCUUUCAGAGUGUAACAUGGCCUUCUGAAACCAACUUACAAACCAUGGGAGGUAGUACCAGUUGUGGAAACCAAAGCAAUGCUUUGAUGACCCAAAUGGUUGAAGCAUUUUCAAGUGAACAGAUCCGGAAUGAAUUCACUGGAGGUCAACCUUUUGACUAUGAAAGCUUUCUCAAUGAUAUCGAUGCAUCAACAAAUGAUAUUUCUGGAGAUCCUGGUUUCUUCUCCAUUAAUGCUCCUGUUCGGAUUCCUUAUCAUAUUGAUCAUGGAGAAUAUGGUUUCUCCUUGGAUGGAAUGUUUGAAAAUUUUACUGGGGAUGUUAUUGCUCAUGAAAAUUUUACAACCUCUGAUGCUGGUACGCAACCAUGAAGUUGCGUUUGCUGGAUUAUUUGAGUCUAAAGUCUCACUCUGGUGGCGUCAGCCCAAAUCCAAUAAAAAGGCUUCUCUGUUGGAUGCGCAUCUCUAUUCUCUUUUAUUCUGCCCGUUUUCCUAAAAGUGUAGUUUUAUUUUGUUUUCAACUUAGGAUUUCAGCCCAUGUUUGCUUUAAAUUCCGUUUGUCUGUCUGUUAUAAUAAGGGUAAAGUGCUAUCAAGUCGGUUUUUAAGGAA